GUGGGGAAUAUUGGACAAUGGGCGAAAGCCUGAUCCAGCCAUGCCGCGUGUGUGAAGAAGGUCUUCGGAUUGUAAAGCACUAUAAGUUGGGAGGAAGGGCAGUAAGUUAAUACCUUGCUGUUUUGACGUUACCGACAGAAUAAGCACCGGCUAACUUCGUGCCAGCAGCCGCGGUAAUACGAAGGGUGCAAGCGUUAAUCGGAAUUACUGGGCGUAAAGCGCGCGGAGGUAGUUUUGUAAGUUGGAGGUGAAAGCCCCGGGCUCAACCUGGGAACUGCCUCCAAAACUGCAUGACUAGAGUACGGUAGAGGGUAGUGGAAUUUCCUGUGUAGCGGUGAAAUGCGUAGAUAUAGGAAGGAACACCAGUGGCGAAGGCGACUACCUGGACUGAUACUGACACUGAGGUGCGAAAGCGUGGGGAGCAAACAGGAUUAGAAACCCGGGUAGUCC
This 450-nucleotide ribosomal RNA is filed under the name uncultured bacterium. RNAcentral's name for it is "partial 16S ribosomal RNA". It matches the Rfam family "Bacterial small subunit ribosomal RNA", at positions 354 to 796 of the family's 1533-position model. The record is from RNAcentral.